RNAcentral lists this ribosomal RNA (432 nucleotides) under Mycale laxissima. Its description in RNAcentral is "SSU rRNA". It matches the Rfam family "Eukaryotic small subunit ribosomal RNA", at positions 323 to 883 of the family's 1831-position model. Lineage: Eukaryota; Metazoa; Porifera; Demospongiae; Poecilosclerida; Mycalidae. The record is from RNAcentral.
CGAUGAUACGGUAGUGGCCUACCAUGUUGCAACGGGGACGGAGAAUUAGGGUUCGGUUCCGGAGAGGCUGAGAACGGCUACCACAUCCGGCAGCAGGCGCGCAAUUACCAAUCCCGACUCGGGGAGGUAGUGACAAUAAAUAACAAUGCUGGUCCGGCAAUUGGAAUGAGACAAUCUAAAUAACGAGAACAAGGGCAAGUCUGGUGCCUUCCAGCUCCAAUAGCGUAUAUUAAAGUUGUUGGAUUUCGGGGGCCCGACGGUCCGCCCGAGGUGGUCCCUCUCGGAGGCCCCGACUGCUCUUUGCUGUCGGGGUUCGGGACGUUUACUUUGAAAAAAUUAGAGUGUUCAAGGCAGGCUGAAUACAUUAGCAUGGAAUAAUGGAAGAGGAUUUUGUUGGUUUCUUGGCCGAAGUAAUGAUUAAGAGGGACAGUU